Molecule: long non-coding RNA, 224 nt
Filed under: Capsicum annuum
Lineage: Eukaryota; Viridiplantae; Streptophyta; Magnoliopsida; Solanales; Solanaceae
Description: long non-coding RNA (CANN_LNC021162)
Source: RNAcentral
GGUACUAUGGAUCUCGUGCCUCUAAACCUAUGGUGUCAAAUAAAACACCAUAGGGUAAAUGCGGCAGUACGGGAAUAUACUGAGUAUGAAGAUGAGGUAAGGCUAAAUGCAAGGGCUUAUGCAUGAACAAUUACUUAACUGAAUAAUCAUGAGAGUACUGAAUGAGAACACAUGCAUGAAUGCACAAAUAAUAAUUGAAAUCAUCUUGACUCAAAAUACUGCAA